CAAAUUUACAAUUUUCUCAACACUUGCAUCAAUAAAAAAAAAAAUUGAAGUUUUAGCAAGGAUGUAGUAAUUUCGAAAAUAUUAAACCCAAAUUUAAAAAAAUUGUACUAUGCUAACUAUUUUUAUGGUACUAAUUUAUUUUAAUCAAUAGGAAGAUAUAAACAUAAGAUGUAUCCUAUCCCAACCCCAUGAAAAAAUUGUAAAGAUCAAACUUCCUUUAGAAUUUACCUGAAAACAGCUCCUUUUUGGACCCUUCUGCAGUUCAGCCUAAACUUGUUCUCCCUAUAGUGCAAUGUUUUAUAUUGAGAAAAAUUUUGAAUGACUCUCAACCUCAGUGUUCCACAUGUGUUGAAAUAGCAUUUUCUUUCGAUGUGACUCUUUCGUUACUGUGAUGCCUAAAAAUUUGUAGUUAGUGAUUCUUAGAAACUUUUGUUGCUAUGACUCAAUCCCCAAUUUCUCAAUUCAAAAGCGCUAAAUAGCUUGUUCUUUCAGUGUCUGUUAUCUUUCUAUUAUUAAUUAUCCAUUGUUUUAAGGUUUUAUAUAGUUUCACUGCACAUACAGAUAUCCUAGCCAGGUCCACUGAAACCAGCCCUUCCCAAUCUAAAUAUAGAUUGUCUGUCAUGUCUGAAGCCAGUCCCACUACAUGUACAUCAAUCUUGGGCAUCUACUUUCUCUUUGUUCUUCCUUCCAGCCUGCCAUUUGAGAAGUAUUUCUCAGUCCUGUUCUUUUGUGGAAAGCAAAUUCAAUGUAGAAAAAAUUUUGUGGAAAACAUUUUGGGACAACAAAUUAUUUUCACGUAUUUGGUUAUAACACUAAAAUCAUUAGAAAUUAUUUUCCAUCCUUUUGGAAUAUGGUGGGAAAAAAAACAUAUAGUUAGUGCUUAUGCCCCA
This 890-nucleotide unclassified non-coding RNA is filed under the name Hevea brasiliensis (rubber tree). Lineage: Eukaryota; Viridiplantae; Streptophyta; Magnoliopsida; Malpighiales; Euphorbiaceae. The record is from RNAcentral.